RNAcentral lists this ribosomal RNA (478 nucleotides) under uncultured bacterium. RNAcentral describes it as "bacterial SSU rRNA". It matches the Rfam family "Bacterial small subunit ribosomal RNA", at positions 30 to 524 of the family's 1533-position model. The record is from RNAcentral.
AUUGAACGCUGGCGGCAUGCCUUACACAUGCAAGUCGAACGGCAGCACGGGAGCUUGCUCCUGGUGGCGAGUGGCGAACGGGUGAGUAAUACAUCGGAACGUACCCUGAAGUGGGGGAUAACGUAGCGAAAGUUACGCUAAUACCGCAUAUUCUGUGAGCAGGAAAGAGGGGGAUCGCAAGACCUCUUGCUUUAGGAGCGGCCGAUGUCGGAUUAGCUAGUUGGUGAGGUAAAGGCUCACCAAGGCGACGAUCCGUAGCGGGUCUGAGAGGAUGAUCCGCCACACUGGGACUGAGACACGGCCCAGACUCCUACGGGAGGCAGCAGUGGGGAAUCUUGCGCAAUGGGCGAAAGCCUGACGCAGCCAUGCCGCGUGAAUGAUGAAGGUCUUAGGAUUGUAAAAUUCUUUCACCGGGGACGAUAAUGACGGUACCCGGAGAAGAAGCCCCGGCUAACUUCGUGCCAGCAGCCGCGGUAAU